RNAcentral lists this ribosomal RNA (429 nucleotides) under Verrucomicrobiota bacterium. RNAcentral's name for it is "Verrucomicrobia bacterium partial 16S ribosomal RNA". It matches the Rfam family "Bacterial small subunit ribosomal RNA", at positions 355 to 776 of the family's 1533-position model. The record is from RNAcentral. Lineage: Bacteria; Pseudomonadati; Verrucomicrobiota.
UAGGGAAUCUUCCACAAUGGACGAAAGUCUGACGGAGCAACGCCGCGUGAGUGAAGAAGGAUUUCGGUUCGUAAAACUCUGUUGUUAGGGAAGAAAAAAUGUAUAGUAACUAUAUACAAAAGAGACGGUACCUAACCAGAAAGCCACGGCUAACUACGUGCCAGCAGCCGCGGUAAUACGUAGGUGGCAAGCGUUGUCCGGAAUUAUUGGGCGUAAAGCGCGCGCAGGUGGUUUAGAAAGUCUGAUGUGAAAGCCCACGGCUCAACCGUGGAGGGUCAUUGGAAACUAAUAAACUUGAGUGCAGGAGAGAAAAGUGGAAUUCCUAGUGUAGCGGUGAAAUGCGUAGAGAUUAGGAGGAACACCGGUGGCGAAAGCGGCUUUUUGGCCUGCAACUGACACUGAGGCGCGAAAGCGUGGGGAGCAAACAGG